ACUCCUACGGGAGGCAGCAGUGAGGAAUAUUGGUCAAUGGACGAGAGUCUGAACCAGCCAAAUCGCGUGAAGGAAGACUGCCCUACGGGUUGUAAACUUCUUUUGUACAGGAAUAAAAGACAUUACGUGUAAUGUAUUGCAUGUACUGUACGAAUAAGCACCGGCUAACUCCGUGCCAGCAGCCGCGGUAAU
RNAcentral lists this ribosomal RNA (192 nucleotides) under uncultured Dysgonomonas sp. RNAcentral describes it as "partial 16S ribosomal RNA". It matches the Rfam family "Bacterial small subunit ribosomal RNA", at positions 335 to 524 of the family's 1533-position model. Lineage: Bacteria; Pseudomonadati; Bacteroidota; Bacteroidia; Bacteroidales; Dysgonomonadaceae. The record is from RNAcentral.